UCCCUGGUGGCUCAGAUGGUAAAGAAUUCACCUGCAAUGUGAAAGACCUGGGUUCAAUCCCUGGGUUGGGAA
RNAcentral lists this transfer RNA (72 nucleotides) under Ovis aries (sheep). It matches the Rfam family "tRNA". Rfam says of the family: Transfer RNA (tRNA) molecules are approximately 80 nucleotides in length. Their secondary structure includes four short double-helical elements and three loops (D, anti-codon, and T loops). Lineage: Eukaryota; Metazoa; Chordata; Mammalia; Artiodactyla; Bovidae. The record is from Rfam by way of RNAcentral.